Peromyscus californicus insignis is the source of this 3491-nucleotide long non-coding RNA. RefSeq lists it as uncharacterized. The record is from RefSeq and is a predicted model, not a curated record. The transcript is spliced from 6 exons. Lineage: Eukaryota; Metazoa; Chordata; Mammalia; Rodentia; Cricetidae.
UCCACCAGAUAAAAGCUAUCAGAAAUUAAUGAAAUUGGUUUAGUUCUUACCUGUCUGCAGAUCUGUAGUGUUUUGCCCAUGGUGGACUUGGGAGAUAGCCAAUUUGGAAGUAGUGGCCUGAGCAUGUUUCUGUCUUUUGUUUCACAGGAGAAGCUAAGUGCCUUGGAUUCCAUGCCUAACGAGAUGAAAGAAGAAUGACUCCCAUGGGUGUCAACAAAGCAUGUCACAUCAAUUUGAGGCAGUACCAAGCUUUUCCACCUGGCCAUCACUCCCUGGGAUUAAACGCUCGCUUUCUGGAAUUAAAGGCAUGAGUCACCAUGCUUGGCUGUAUCCUUGAACAGAUGGAUUUCUGCCUCUGGAAUGCUAGGAUUAAAGGCAUGUGCUACCACUGCCUAUCCUAAGUAUCUAGUGACUUUUCUGUUCUCUGACCCCAGAUAAGUUUAUUAGGGUACACAAUAUUUUGGGGAACACAAUACCACCACAGGGUGAAUAGUCUGUAUUCUUAUUAGACGGAAUGUUCUCACCCCACCAUUGGUACUCUUUGUCUAUCUCUCUAUCUCUAUUUCUCUCCCUCUCUCUCUCUAUGUCUGUCUCCCUUUCCUUAUUUUGGGUAUAAAUCUAUCUAUAUAUCGUUGGUCAUUACUUUAUUUUGGCAGUCCUAUUGACUGUGAAAGCUACUUUCAAGAUUUCAUAGUAUAAGCUAUGAGAGAUACGAUGAGUUGCUUUGGGAAAUUAAGCUAAUCAAAUACAAUGCAUUAGUGUCUAGUUGAUUUUUUUUCUAAUCUUGCAACAAAGACUUACAUCAUGAGGAAGUUAUAUUCAAAGUGAAUUUUCUCUGUAAGAUACAUGAUAAAUAAUUGCCUAUUCACUUUAGUCCCACUGAUAGUAUCUAUAUUGAGUGUCCAUCAUUCCAGAUACAUCUAGAGAUAGUUUCUAAAGGAAGUAGCCAUGAUUCUAGAUAAAUCUAGAGAUGGUGUGUUUUAUUAAGGUGAUCUGAUUGAUGAUCAUGAAGUUCUCUUUUAAGUCCCAAUCAACAUUUCUAUAUUUCCAAUUCAUUUUCUUUCCACUACUUUGCAUCUCAUAGAAGGAUUUAUAAAACCUGUCCAGUGUCUUUCUUCCAAACAAGAAAUUCCUCACAGAAACAUUACUGAUUUCUCUGAAAGCAGUUCCUGACAUGGUUAAUGGUCAUGCUUUACUGGAAUGUCUGCAGGCCAGGUGUGGAAUUAUUUUGCGGUUCCUGUUAUAAAGCACUCAUUGUCAUAUUUCACCUUGGGUAAUGAAUCAGAAUCUCAGACUGAAGGGUGGAUCUGUGCUCUGUGCUCUUAGUGUUGGUCCAUAGCUGGGCUCCUUGAAGGAUUACUAGGUCCUCUUCUAAACAAUGCUUUCUGUUCCCCAAAUUGAACCCGAGUAAGAGUACACUCUUGCGAUCUAUGAAGUACUUACAAUGUUUCCGAAAAUUGGUAAGAGAGCAGGCCUGGCUGUUCCUGUGUUCUCUGCUGGCUAAUGCAAUGUUUAGUGGACAAGAGAGUGAGAGCCAGGGUGGUGAGAAUCUAAAACACUCAUGUUGCAAAUGGGAGGAAUCAAUCCUUCCAUGUAAGUAUUUAUUCCUAGGAAGGGAGGAGAAUGGGUUGAAUUCCAGGAAGAGGUGAAGCCUUUGCUAUUAUUUCUAUUGUAUUCCACCUGGGCUCUGGGCUUCUCCUUCUACCAUGUGAACCACAGAGAUGGGACUCCACUCUUAGGCUUGAGAUUAAGAGUCUUUACCUGCUGAGCAUAUUACAGGACUGCAGUUCUUUAUGCCAACAAAUAAAUAAGAAGAAAAAGCCUAGACAGAAAGAUCCUACCCUUUACUUUAAAAAUGGUAGACUAUUAAAAUUAAAAUAAAAACAGAUUUUGCUUCCCAAGGUGAUUUUGUUUCACUAACCUGUUAACAUUAGGGGUCUCCCACCUCCAUUAUUCAGGCCAUGAGAGAGAAGAAAUAUAAAAGCAAUACAUUUUUUUUCAGAUAAAAACUAAAUUGCAGCCUAGAGCGUUGAAAAAUGAACAAUUACAUUCACUAUCCCCAGAGCAUGUAAUAAUUGGGAUUGUAGACCCAGUGUCCUUUCCUUGAAAUACAGCUAAUACAUUUUUCAUAUUUUUCACUUUUUGUAUAUUUAUACUUGGUGGUCGUUCACUUUUGUGAAAACAAAACUAUGCUAUAACCAGUCCUGACCUAUUUUUCUUCUUUCUUCUUCUUCUCCUGCAAGCAUGUCCCUUCACAGGUGCUCUGAGCUGCAGACCAAAUCAAAGCUGAGAAAUGCUUUAAAGUUCCUGAAAACUUCUCUCCAGAAAACAAUGAAAAGUCUUGGGAUGUCUGAGCCACUGCCAGCCUGGAACAGAUCUUGCAAGCCCUGCCUUUUCUCUCAUCCAAGAACUCAGCUGACUGAAGAAUAUCACCUGCUCCCUGUCACCUUGCAGCCAAGAAGACAGAAACAAAAACAAAACACCCGUUUAGAAGAGAAACACAAAGGCCUCUUCAUCAGUUCUGGGGCUCAAAGAGAUUGAAUGAACAACCAGAGAGCCUGCAUGGGACUGACCUAGGCCUUCUGCAUCUCUUAUACUUCAGAACACACGGAGUUGGCUCUUCACUUUUGGGAGACGACAAGUAUCCUGACCUCAUACAAGUGCUUUCACACAUUGAAUUCAGCAUGACAGACUCACCAGCUCACCUAACGUGAAGUGAGCACUUCAAUCUAAGGCUAUCCAAGGACUGCUUCUUUCCUGUAAGCUAAGAGCUACUCAGUGUCCAGUGGAGACUAUCACUGAAAUUCACAACUGCUCAAAAUGGAGAAGAAACUGACUGUAGGGUUCUCAGCCCCAGCUGAUACACCUACAACACAACCUUUUCACCUAAGGUGAACAUCAAGGAAAGGGAUGGAAAGAUCGUAAGAGUCAAAAGACCAGGAUGUCUGCUGUGAGAUAGUAUCUUCUACAUACUACAGGGAAAUUGUACUCAUGAAAUCCCAAUGACACAAUCAUCUAAACAAGACCUGAACAAUGACAACUCCAACUGGCAUGCCAAAAUAGGUGAGGGAAAUCUUGCAAGGCUGCACCACGAAAUCAAGAACUAUAGGAAAUUAAUGGUGGCCAUAAGAAAAAAAAUUAGUCCUCCUCUGUAAAUAAGAUCCCUGUAGGUUGUCCAACCAAGUGAUCAACCUUACACAUACAUACUUACAUACAAGUUGUACCACAUAGACUCAACAGGCUUCUCUCUCUCUCUCUCUCUCUCUCUCUCUCUCUCUCUCUCUCUCUCUGUUUCUCUCUGUCUCUGACUCUCUCUCUCUGUCUCUGUGUGUGUGUGUGUGUGUGUGUGUAUACAAAUAAUUAAAAAAGAAAAUUCCAUGAAUUUGAGAGGGAGUAGGGAGCAAAAUGAGAGGACUUGAAAGAGGAGGAAUUAAAAUUAUAUAAAUAGAAUACUCAUGUAUGAAAUGUUCAAAAAUAAAUGUAGAAAACAA